Magnolia sinica is the source of this 1849-nucleotide long non-coding RNA. RefSeq lists it as uncharacterized. Lineage: Eukaryota; Viridiplantae; Streptophyta; Magnoliopsida; Magnoliales; Magnoliaceae. The transcript has 3 exons. The record is from RefSeq and is a predicted model, not a curated record.
UCGAUUCAAACUGUUGCGCAAAGGCUAAUUUCCUUUUCACUCUCAAACCUAAAGAGAAAAAUUAAAUUAAAUCUCUUCCUUUCCAUCAUUUUUCUCAUGCCAUGUUUUCCUUUUCUCAGUUACUUUUUUAAUUUCAACCAAACCAAAUACAAGAGAGACGGCUGCAAAUCACAUGCCUCCUCCCAUAGGCCCAGGCUUCCAUCCCAAAAAGAUCUGGAUAGCCACUAGCAAUGCUAACGUGGGCCAGUUCCAUGAGAAAAUGGCCCUGGUGAUUAGCCAGCACCUCCACACCGUGUAAAACCUGAUUAAUAUCCUAAAAAUGGGCACAAUGCAUCAUAGUCUUGCCAUGGCCAAGCCUUCUCUUUCAAUGCCAUGUCUCCACCAAAGGCCAGCUAGAUUCUGUUUUACAUGCAUGAAUAAAUAGCACUAGCAUUGUUGUAUAAAACACACACUUUCAAAAUGGCAGAGCCAAUAGCCAGGAUAAGUGCCAUUGGCUUUGUUUCUCUCUAUCCUCAGAAAAGGGAAGAUGCGAGUUCAUUCACAUAUGAUGCAACUUAGGUGUAAUCUGCCUUCAGUUUUUCUAGUUCUUCCUGGCCUAACUCCCCCUUGUUAGGUUUGGUUAGCACCAAAACAAAGCAUGUAGGCCUCUUGGUGGCUCCUGCGGUAGCAAGUUCCUCCUUCAACGGAACGUAUAUGUAUGGGAUUUCGGCUUCUUCACACAAGAUGGGUACAUGUGUGAUCACGUCGAUUGGAGAAAUGUUUCCAGCUAUUACACACAAGAUAAUGGAAGGAGUGUUUCUGCAUCCAUGCAGGUAUUAUUGUUUGAAUGAUCUUAUUAUUCACCUAUGGUUGCAAUAAUUUAGAAACUUGAAAUUUUGUUUGUUUUAUGACAUCUUUGUUUUAGAUUUCUGAAUUUGUUUCCACAAAAGUAGAUUUUGGAUCUGAACUAGCUAUAAGUACUAGAACGGAGCUUAAGCCAGGUGAUAAGAUUAAAGUGCUUAGUCAGUACUCAAUCGGUUGUUCUCAAUUAUUUGUGUGAAUGCAAUGAUUAAAUGUUUUAUAUAUGUAAUGAUUGUUUUAUUGGUGAUAAUAAAAUGCCCUUCUGCUUGACUUAUUAGUUACUUGGUGGCAACAACAUGGGAUUAAUUGCUUACAACUCCAGCGGAUUGCCAUAGGCAUAUUAAGCCAGAGAUGCUUUUCGUUUGUUUGUGAACACAGCUGGAGUUCAUUUGAUUAGAUGCAUUGUAAAAUUACCUUUUAGAUGCCCAAGAGCACCCAACUAAGGCUGUGGACAUUUUUGCAGCUUCCUCAGCUUCUUCUAUCAGCAGAUUGUCUAUAAUGAAAGAAAUUGUGAAGAUGUUGUGUGUUUUGACAUCAGAAGCAAAGACAUUAUACCCUCCAAAUAAGCCUACAAUACAGAACUUGUUAUCAGAGUUGCUAGUUGGAUGAAUUACCCUCCCCUGCACUUCAGCAUCGGUAUGUGCAUGCAUUUAAAAUUUGGUUCUAUAGAAAUGUAGGGGCAUAAUUCUGGAUGGCAGGCACAAAGAGGAAGUGAGAAGUUUGAUGACCCAAAGCCAUUUUCUUUUCUAGAAGAGUUGAAAUCCAGUAAGGCCCGCAGAUUUGAGCUACCUGAUAUUGUUGGACGUAUUGUUGAGUUCAGGCAAGCUUCUAUAUUAACUUCUACAAAUCUUAUGCAUGAAAGUAUAUUUGUAAUUUUGUAAUAUAUUUAAUAUGCAAGAAAGUAAUCAUUCUGUGCAUGUCUGGCAUCAGUGCUGACCAACAUGGGAGUCAGUUUAUUCAACAGAAGUUGGAAAACUGUAGCACUGAAGAGAAGAUAUCUGUUUUUGAA